Non-coding RNA from Paramisgurnus dabryanus, 2391 nucleotides. NCBI's taxonomy places the organism in Eukaryota, Metazoa, Chordata, Actinopteri, Cypriniformes, Cobitidae. The record is from RefSeq and is a predicted model, not a curated record.
UUUCGGCCAAAUACAACACUUACUCUUUAAUGGAUGACAAAACAGACAAGAUUGUGCACUUUGAAUUGGUGCAGAUUUUGAGAGAGAGAUCGACUGGAGACCGCCAACUGUGAGUAACAGAAAAUCAGCAACUAACCUCGAAUGUUUACAUGUUAAAGGAGAGUGUAACCCAUUUCUAAGCGGCCCCACUAGAUGUGUGCAGCAGGUGGGCGAGCCUAGAGGUGUGUGUAUUGAGAGAGAGAUCGACUGGAGACCGCCAACUGUGAGUAAUAGAAAUCGACCACUAAUGUUGAAUGCUUGUAUGUUAAAGGAGAGUGUAACCCAUUUCCAAGCGGCCCCACUAGACGCGUGCAGUAGGUGGGCGAGCCGAGGGGUGUGUAUUAACUUACUCUGGACUGUGAGAGUUUGCCAUCAGGUUGAGACGCUGUGCUGCGUGGCCCGUACCAGUCAACCCCGCUACCCAGGGCCAGGUCCACCUGGAGAGGAGUACGGACCCUAAUUUAUUCACUGGAGUGUGUGCUGUGCAACGAUUGAGUGAUUGAAUCUGACGAGUUGCUUGUGAAGUGGAACUCCAUUCUUUACCACAUAGUAGGUGUGCACAGUUGGAUUGAAGAAGGAAAUACGAAAAAAUGUGACCACAACGAUCUCAGUCCUGAACAGCAACGGAAAAAGAAAUGGCUUCAGAAAGAGUCACAUGCCUACCGCACACUAGAAGGCCUUGUCCUGGAUUAAAGGCUUCUUAAUGAUUUGAGGAAGUUGGCUCUUUUUAAACACACUGGAGAACUUGAGGUGUUCCAUUCUGUCUUGCUGAAGUACUGCUCAAAGAGCCUCCACUUUCACUAUACUUCCAUCGUUGCAAGAGCACAGCUAGCUGUCCUUGACCAUAAUGAAAAUGUAGGUCGUCAGCAAGCCGCAACAAUUACUGGAGUACCUCGGUUCAACAUUGUCUACCCAAAACAUACCAAAGAAUGGAUUGCCAAAGUGAUUUACAAACCCACCACUCAAAACUUCAGAGAGACUCUGCUGGAGAAAGUUCUACUCCGGCGACAGAACCCCAGCAUUGUUUUCAAGGACAGUUCUUCUCAUUUAAGUCAAGCUGCAUUGCCACAGAACAUAGCGCUAAAACCAAGGCCUGACAAGCAGGAAGUAAUUGCAAAGCGCUUAUCAAGAUUUGGAAGGGGUCCAAUGUAAAAUGUUAUUGUUACUGUUUUUUUGUGUUUUGUUACAGGUUUUUUGUUAUUGAGGGAAAAUGAAAUAUACCUUGGGUAAAAAUAUUUUUGUUUUAGUGUAAAUAUUCAGUCCCAACGACUGUAGUUCUCUCAAUGUUUUUUAUUCUUCUAUGUAAAUGUACAUGUAAGACAACAAAAAAAUGUAAGACAACAAAAAAAGAGUUUACAGUGUUGGUGUAUAUACAACAGUAAAUUACAGAAUAUGAUGAUGAUAAAACUACAGUUAGGUGCUUACAAAAGAUCAAAAGCAUCUUCUGCUUCCCUGAAGCCCACAUAAUGUCCUGAUGGAGAUGGGUAAGAAUCCCUAAUGGCACUGACAACACAAGAUCGAAGAAUCUUCCUGUUUCCUCUUCCUAAUCUCUCUUCGUUCAGCAUCCACUCAAGAACCAACCUGUACGCCACCAGCCUGUAUUGACUAAAUUAAAAGAAAUGUGUCCAGUUGAUGUGUAAAUACAGUCAAACAUGUAGUAAUCACACAAAACGGGAUACUUACUCUGCUGUUAGGGUGCCGCCAGGUCCUUGUGGCCUCGGACGGCGUCUCCAGUUUAUUCUGGGCAAACGGAAAAACACUUCCAAAACAGUGUUGUUCAGUAACGCAGAAAAACCACUGUGUUCCGUGAUGCAGCUUGAAACAGACGUCGCACCGGGUGACUCUCUGAUUCGUUCUAACGGUGGCAUAAAUAUGGUCCAUUCAUGACAGCAUUGGCAUUCUUGCUCCGUUGGCAGUGGUUGGCACUUAGUACAGGUACACCACCACGUCUCGUUUGAUUUUCGUCUGACUAUGGCUUGAGAUAAUCGUGUCGCCGACUCGCCGUUGCAGUCUCUCCUCCAUCUGUCUGAGUUCAUCGUCUGUGUACUCUGGCUCAAAAAGGUAUGGUACGGCGAAAAACUCCAUGUCAUUAUCAUCUCUUACUUCAAAAAAAUCCUCCGACAUCGUUGUUGUACUUUUCUGUUACUCAACUUCUGAACGGUACUUCUCAACAAUUGUAAACACUAACGUUAGCGGUAGUUCGCGCAUACGUCAAGCGUAACCUUUGGACGUCAUUACGUAAUGCGUAAGGUCGUGAACGCGCAUCGCUCGGCAACGGCAAGACGCAAAGUUGCCGUUAUAAAGUACACAUUAUUUUUAUUUUAUUUUUGAAAAUGUGGGUGUUUCGCUAGA